AUGUCCACACGCUGCAGCAGGCGCUGGACGUCGCCCCGCCGCCUCGUCUUCGCACGGCACAAGACCGUGCGGAGCAUGCUGAGCGGCAGAACCGCCUCCUCGUCGCCCAUGAGGACGAGCGGGUCAUGGCGGAGUGGCGCCAACAACACCCGGAGGACGUAUCCUACGAGCAAGCCUACUGGGCAAGGCGCCGCGAGGAGGAGACGCAAAGGCGCCGCGCUGAGCGGUUGGACAGGCGUCGGCGGAAGGUCCUGGCGCUAUCCCAGUGCGAUGUAG
Molecule: ribosomal RNA, 276 nt
Filed under: Triticum aestivum (bread wheat)
Lineage: Eukaryota; Viridiplantae; Streptophyta; Magnoliopsida; Poales; Poaceae
Description: partial small subunit ribosomal RNA
Source: RNAcentral